This is a long non-coding RNA of Rosa chinensis, 524 nucleotides long. RefSeq lists it as uncharacterized. The record is from RefSeq and is a predicted model, not a curated record. NCBI's taxonomy places the organism in Eukaryota, Viridiplantae, Streptophyta, Magnoliopsida, Rosales, Rosaceae. The transcript is spliced from 3 exons.
UCUCUUUUUCAGAUCUAUUUCCUCUGAGUUCUCUCUUUCUCAAUCGAUGAAGGACUCCCAGAGAUGGAUUGCAACACUCCCAAUCCAAUCUGAGGGUGGAAUGGCAUUCGUGUUCGUAGCAAGGGAGAAUUUCAUUAUCUCGAGCUUGAAUUGGUCCUCUCACUCAUCUGCGCGGAAGAUUUGUGAUUCCAGGGCAUUGGGUUAAUGAAUUUUGACAGGAGGCAUGGGUUUCAAGAUGCCAACUCCCCAGAUGAAUGCAGGUAAGUCAAUGGAGACUACAGCUGAGAUAGAAAACAAGGUAGAUACGGCUGGGGAUUUGGCCCUCUUUGCUAAAGGAACAUACAGAGGCAACUAGAGAUGAUGAUGGUGUUGAUGAUGAUGAAGAAUAGGAGGAUGUGGAGGGUGUUCGUAAUUUUGCAGCUCUUUGUACUAUCAGUCACAUUUUGGACGGACCAUAUGAGAAUCAUUCAACCAAAGCUCUUUGCAGAUCGUGAAGAAUUUAAUAGCUUUUAGUAAAAGAAUUU